CUCGGUGACGAUAGCGGAGAGGUCACACCCGUUCCCAUCCCGAACACGGAAGUUAAGCUCUCC
This 63-nucleotide ribosomal RNA is filed under the name Anoxybacillus sp. ST4. The record is from RNAcentral. Lineage: Bacteria; Bacillati; Bacillota; Bacilli; Caryophanales; Anoxybacillaceae.